RNAcentral lists this long non-coding RNA (1467 nucleotides) under Oryctolagus cuniculus (rabbit). Its description in RNAcentral is "lncRNA (ENSOCUG00000034970.1)". The record is from RNAcentral. Lineage: Eukaryota; Metazoa; Chordata; Mammalia; Lagomorpha; Leporidae.
UUUCUCUGGAAGCUUUCGACUCCUCAGUGGGCAGCAGGCGGAGACGACCCCAGGGCGGGUUCUCGCAGGCCAGAGCUGCCCUGCCCUCAUGUCUCCUCCCACCUUGCUCCUUGCCCUGAAACCAGGCUGGGCGGACAUCCCACCCAGUCUGUCCCUGCCUCUCUCCCCUCCCUCGCUGUUAGAACAUGCAUUGCUUUAGAACCCUGGGGUCUGCCCUCGCCCCAUCUGCCUGGCAUCCUGCCCCCUCCACCCCCCACCCCCCACCCGGCUCUGAAAGGAGGCCUUAGGUUCUGGGGUCCUCACUAUAUAGGCCUCUGCAGGCCUUGGAGGCCGGGACCCCGCCCCCAGCGCCCCGCCCCCAGCGCCGAGGUCCCCUUAAGGGCGCAGAAACAAAACGCGGAAGUGCAGGGCCCUCUCCCCCCACCCCCGGAACGACAGGAGGAGGGGCGACCCCAGCCGGUGCCAGCUGAAACCGGCCGGUUUCCUGCCCCCACACCCUCAGCAGGAGCCUGGCCCGCGGUGGGUCCGGCGCCCCGCUCUGCUGCCGGCUCCCCGCCCAGGCAGGGGCCUUUGCGGUCGCUGUUCCGCCCGCCCCCCGCAGCAGCAGGUGCAGAGGUGCAGAGGUGCAGAGGUGCAGAGGGGCCGCCUGCUGGGGCCUGCUGCCGGGCGGCAGGGAGGGGCCUCGGAGGAGUCCCAAGUUCAAGCCCCGGCCCCCCAGCUACUGCACAGCCUCCGCCGCUCUCCCUGGCCUCUACAGGAGGCGCCGCUGGAGAGCUGGUUAAGGUCAUCGUGAGAAUUGAGGCAGGCGGGAAAGGCCCCCGGGCCUCUCUCAACCACGCACCGCCCUGCCCUCAGACCCCGCGGUGGGCGUGGUGCCCACCUGGAUCCGCACCUGACUCCGCCUCCACAGGCUCGCUCUGCGGAGAGGCCCUCCUCCGCCUGGCCGGACCCCAGGCCUGCCCCCGGCUCAGCAGAGAGAAAGGACAGCGUGGGCCGGCGCCACCCUGCACACCUGCAGGGGUGGGGGCGCGCGUCGCAGUCAUCAGCCGGGAGCCUCCUGCUCGCUGGAUUUCCAGGUGUCGGAGGGCUGUCGCUUUGGCUAAACUCCCGGUUUCCACACCGCCCCCGCCCCCCCCCACCAUAGCUCCUGGCAUCUCCGCAGUCACCCCUGCCCCCACCAGGCCAGAGCAGGUCCAUGGCCAAGGACGCGUCCCGGGCACGUGGGUGAUGACAACCCCGGGCCACCAGCGUCCACGGGCCUUGAGGAGUCCAUGUCCUCUCCCCAGCCACCCCUUGUUUGCCCGGCGCCAGGGGCGCAGUGGGCUGCCCCGUGGGUGGCGCCGCAGUGGCGUGGGCGGCCGCGGACCUGGUGAUGUUUUCUGUGCACCUGUGCGGCUGUGGGGGAGCUGUGCGCCCAGAAGCUGGGCCCCCGCAGAGGCGUUCACGGGAGGAAGCCAGGGUCGGUGA